Regulatory RNA element from Chlorocebus sabaeus (green monkey), 217 nucleotides. Lineage: Eukaryota; Metazoa; Chordata; Mammalia; Primates; Cercopithecidae. The record is from Rfam.
AAAACGGCCAGUGUCAGGAGCUGCUGCGAGAGGCCGCCGCGUUUCUAGAGCGUGGCUCCCGUUGUCCUGAGGCUUCCCAGAGCGAACCUGUGCGGCUGCAGGCACCAGCGCCGUUGAGUUUCCGGCGUUCCGCAGGACUGAGCUCUUGUCGCGGGUCCCGUCCGCCGUUUCCAGUCCCGAAUCUCGGAGCGGAGCAGACAGCAGGGCACCGGCAUGG